GGGGACAUGGCUCAGGGUAGAGCACUUGCCUGGCAUGCACGAGGCUCUGGGUUCCACCCCAGUACCUUCA
This 70-nucleotide transfer RNA is filed under the name Heterocephalus glaber (naked mole-rat). It matches the Rfam family "tRNA". From Rfam's summary of the family: Transfer RNA (tRNA) molecules are approximately 80 nucleotides in length. Lineage: Eukaryota; Metazoa; Chordata; Mammalia; Rodentia; Bathyergidae. The record is from Rfam by way of RNAcentral.